RNAcentral lists this ribosomal RNA (369 nucleotides) under uncultured bacterium. RNAcentral describes it as "bacterial SSU rRNA". It matches the Rfam family "Bacterial small subunit ribosomal RNA", at positions 335 to 697 of the family's 1533-position model. The record is from RNAcentral.
ACUCCUACGGGAGGCAGCAGUGGGGAAUAUUGCACAAUGGGCGCAAGCCUGAUGCAGCCAUGCCGCGUGUAUGAAGAAGGCCUUCGGGUUGUAAAGUACUUUCAGCAGUGAGGAAGGCGGAGUCGUUAAUAGCGGCCUCGUUUGACGUUAGCUGCAGAAGAAGCACCGGCUAACUCCGUGCCAGCAGCCGCGGUAAUACGGAGGUGCGAGCGUUAAUCGGAAUUACUGGGCGUAAAGCGCAUGCAGGUGGUUUGUUAAGUCAGAUGUGAAAGCCCGGGGCUCAACCUCGGAAUUGCAUUUGAAACUGGCAGACUAGAGUACUGUAGAGGGGGGUAGAAUUUCAGGUGUAGCGGUGAAAUGCGUAGAGAU